This 252-nucleotide ribosomal RNA is filed under the name uncultured bacterium. RNAcentral's name for it is "partial 16S ribosomal RNA". It matches the Rfam family "Bacterial small subunit ribosomal RNA", at positions 526 to 779 of the family's 1533-position model. The record is from RNAcentral.
CGGAGGGUGCAAGCGUUACCCGGAAUCACUGGGGCGUAAAGGGCGUGUAGGCGGAAUUUAAGUCUGGUUUUAAAGACCGGGGCUCAACCUCGGGGAUGGACUGGAUACUGGAUUUCUUGACCUCUGGAGAGGUAACUGGAAUUCCUGGUGUAGCGGUGGAAUGCGUAGAUACCAGGAGGAACACCAAUGGCGAAGGCAAGUUACUGGACAGAAGGUGACGCUGAGGCGCGAAGUGUGGGAGCAAACCGGAUU